GCCGACAUCUUCUCUGCUCCUGUCGCUGUCCCCUGACAGACCACGCGCCGAAAUGUUGUGUCCACAGGCUGAUUGACGACGCCAAGCUAGCUCACUAGCUAAGGCCUUCAGUAACGUCAGGUUGCUUUGCCGAGGCUUGCCGCUAGCCUCUCGGACAACCCGUUCCCUCCACCGAACGAUAUGAGGAAGCGCUGAAACCACUGACUUCAACAGUCACUGACGUCACUGCUCAACACAGAACUAGCCGGGGCCAGAGCCACGCUACCGCUCUGGAUGGGGCCUACACAGUGGUUAAUAACAUCAACACACGAAAGAAAUAUGGAGGCCUACAGCUAUUUGAUUACUUAUGUGAAUAUGAAUGUUUAUGUUUGUAGCUCUUAACAAACGCGUUUGUUCUGUGACAUCAAUAAACAUUGCAUUAACAUUA
Long non-coding RNA from Alosa alosa (allis shad), 427 nucleotides. RefSeq lists it as uncharacterized. The transcript is spliced from 2 exons. Lineage: Eukaryota; Metazoa; Chordata; Actinopteri; Clupeiformes; Clupeidae. The record is from RefSeq and is a predicted model, not a curated record.